GGAUGUGAGGGCAAUCUGGCUGUGACAUCUGUCACCCCGUUGAUCGCCAGGGUUGAUUCGGCUGAUCUGGCUGGCUAGGCGGGUGUCCCUUUCCUCCCUCACCACUCCAUGUGCGUCCCUCCCGAAGAUGCCUGCUUGGUCGAAGACGACGACCUUCCCCGAUAGAGGCGUGUACCAUUCAUCAGUCAAGGGUAUACGGUAGCUGCACUCCCCUGCUAGAACCUCCAAACAAGCUCAAGGUCCAUUUGUAGGAGAACGUAGGGCAGUCAAGCUUCCAAGACUGCAGACAGAUCCAAGUGAGGCGCUGCAUGGGGCAGUCUGCCAUUGUUU
Non-coding RNA from Apaloderma vittatum (bar-tailed trogon), 330 nucleotides. Lineage: Eukaryota; Metazoa; Chordata; Aves; Trogoniformes; Trogonidae. The record is from Rfam.